This 561-nucleotide ribosomal RNA is filed under the name Arxotrichum repens. Its description in RNAcentral is "Arxotrichum sp. XWW-2019d partial 28S ribosomal RNA". It matches the Rfam family "Eukaryotic large subunit ribosomal RNA", at positions 38 to 625 of the family's 3401-position model. The record is from RNAcentral. Lineage: Eukaryota; Fungi; Ascomycota; Sordariomycetes; Sordariales; Chaetomiaceae.
GCAUAUCAAUAAGCGGAGGAAAAGAAACCAACAGGGAUUGCCCUAGUAACGGCGAGUGAAGCGGCAACAGCUCAAAUUUGAAAUCUGGCUUCGGCCCGAGUUGUAAUUUGCAGAGGAAGCUUUAGGCGCGGCACCUUCUGAGUCCCCUGGAACGGGGCGCCAUAGAGGGUGAGAGCCCCGUAUAGAUGGAUGCCUAGCCUGUGUAAAGCUCCUUCGACGAGUCGAGUAGUUUGGGAAUGCUGCUCAAAAUGGGAGGUAAAUUUCUUCUAAAGCUAAAUACCGGCCAGAGACCGAUAGCGCACAAGUAGAGUGAUCGAAAGAUGAAAAGCACUUUGAAAAGAGGGUUAAACAGCACGUGAAAUUGUUGAAAGGGAAGCGCUUGUGACCAGACUUGCGCCGGGCGGAUCAUCCGGUGUUCUCACCGGUGCACUCCGCCCGGCUCAGGCCAGCAUCGGUUCUCGCGGGGGGAUAAAGGCCCUGGGAACGUAGCUCCUCCGGGAGUGUUAUAGCCCGGGGCGUAAUGCCCUCGCGGGGACCGAGGACCGCGCAUCUGCAAGGAUG